This 392-nucleotide ribosomal RNA is filed under the name uncultured bacterium. Its description in RNAcentral is "bacterial SSU rRNA". It matches the Rfam family "Bacterial small subunit ribosomal RNA", at positions 28 to 422 of the family's 1533-position model. The record is from RNAcentral.
GACGAACGCUGGCGGCGUGCUUAACACAUGCAAGUCGAGCGGUAAGGCCCCUUCGGGGGUACACGAGCGGCGAACGGGUGAGUAACACGUGGGUGACCUGCCCUCAGCUCUGGGAUAAGCCUGGGAAACUGGGUCUAAUACCGGAUAUGACUCCAUGACGCAUGUCGUGGGGUGGAAAGCCUUGUGCGGCUGGGGAUGGGCCCGCGGCCUAUCAGCUUGUUGGUGGGGUGAUGGCCUACCAAGGCGACGACGGGUAGCCGGCCUGAGAGGGCGACCGGCCACACUGGGACUGAGACACGGCCCAGACUCCUACGGGAGGCAGCAGUGGGGAAUCUUGCGCAAUGGGCGAAAGCCUGACGCAGCGACGCCGCGUGAGGAUGACGGCCUGGUGU